UCACCCCUCAAGCUCAGCUUGGUGUUGGGGUCUGCCUGUCACAGGGCAGCCUCUAAAAUCAGUGGCGGUGCCAUCUGGCUCUACGCGUAGUAAUACUUCUCGCGAUGGAGACCCGGUGGUGCCACGCCAGAACCCCAAAUUUUAUCAC
Molecule: unclassified non-coding RNA, 148 nt
Filed under: uncultured Articulospora
Lineage: Eukaryota; Fungi; Ascomycota; Leotiomycetes; Helotiales; Helotiaceae
Description: sequence contains ITS2
Source: RNAcentral